CUGUGUUGGUAAAGAUGAAGAUGUCAGUCAAUGAAAUUUGCUAUAUUUAUUGUGUCUAACCAACCCUGUACGGAUCGAACUGACGAUUCCCGAGUGCCACAAAUGUCCUGAAGUCUGCUCCUAUUAGCUAGGUAUCUAGAAAUCUCAACUUCAGUGUCAAGUGAAGACUUUGCCAGUUGCAGACGAGGGAAUUCUCGCUUCACGAUUUUCCUUGUGUGUGGAGAUACGUUGGAAUGCCGACCCACCACACCCGACAUGAUGCUUUGGCAGGAAUGCAGAAAGGAUCCUAUGUAGUGCCUACUUAGCAUUACAUCCAUUGCGUAGCAGCAAUGUGCCAUCCUUCUGCGACUUGGGUGGAAUGACGUGCAAGUGGUGCUCCAGGGCCAACUUCAAUUUGCCGAGCACGUAUGCCGCUGGCUUGGGGUCAGCAGUUGGGUGCACAGUCUCUGUAUACAAAUCGUGCACUGUCGUCAACAAUAUGGCACCCUUGUCCAGCAAUUCAUGUGCUUCAGCGGCAAUGACUAUAUUGGGAAGAUCACUCUCGGCACCUUCCGUGCUGUAUUGAGAGAUGAUGCUUCGCAAUUGGUGGUAUGUGCUUGGUGCACUGUCGGCAGGGAGCAUGUCAAUUUGCUUUUGGUAGCAGCGUCUACAAAAUCGACUCUCGUCUGAAAUCCUGACGUUUUGCAUGCUGCGCAACACAUGCUCUGCAAGUUGAAAGUUUGGUGACUUCCACCUGUCCUGUGUUCUGGUGUGAGCCUCGACUUACACCAAGCACAUGUUGCAUGGCCCACACACUGCUGGUAACUUAUGGUCCGGGCACUGGACCGGUUCGCACUGUUCUUUCAGACUGUGCACGUGCAGUUUGUCUGCAGGACAGUGUACUGAAGCCGCUGCGCUGCAAUCAUGUACAUUGCAUGUACUUUGGCAGACUGGUGGCUUAUUUUCUUUCGCUGCUGUGCAUACUUGGCGUCGUAGUGCUUUGACGCACUUCCAACAAAUGCAUUGGUCUGACGUGAUGGAUGUGCAUGUGUGUAGCUUUUGCCAAUCUGA
Long non-coding RNA from Sycon ciliatum, 1050 nucleotides. RefSeq lists it as uncharacterized. The transcript has 2 exons. The record is from RefSeq and is a predicted model, not a curated record. NCBI's taxonomy places the organism in Eukaryota, Metazoa, Porifera, Calcarea, Leucosolenida, Sycettidae.